UACGGAAGGGGCUAGCGUUGUUCGGAUUUACUGGGCGUAAAGCGCAUGUAGGCGGCGGAUCAAGUGGGGCGUGAAAGGCCUGGGCUCAACCUGGGAACUGCGCUUCAGACUGGUUCGCUCGAGUUCGGGAGAGGGUGGUGGAAUUCCCAGUGUAGAGGUGAAAUUCGUAGAUAUUGGGAGGAACACCGGUGGCGAAGGCGGCCACCUGGCCCGAGACUGACGCUCAAGUGCGAAAGCGUGGGGAGCAAACAGGAUUAGAUACCCUGGUAGUCCACGCUGUAAACGAUGGGUGCUAGAUGUCGGGGGGCUUGCUCUUCGGUGUCGCAGCUAACGCGUUAAGCACCCCGCCUGGGGAGUACGGCCGCAAGGUUAAA
This 374-nucleotide ribosomal RNA is filed under the name uncultured bacterium. RNAcentral describes it as "bacterial SSU rRNA". It matches the Rfam family "Bacterial small subunit ribosomal RNA", at positions 524 to 898 of the family's 1533-position model. The record is from RNAcentral.